RNAcentral lists this ribosomal RNA (301 nucleotides) under uncultured bacterium. Its description in RNAcentral is "partial 16S ribosomal RNA". It matches the Rfam family "Bacterial small subunit ribosomal RNA", at positions 509 to 807 of the family's 1533-position model. The record is from RNAcentral.
CAGCAGCCGCGGUAAUACAGAGGAUGCAAGCGUUAUCCGGAAUUAUUGGGCGUAAAGGGCUCGCAGGCGGUUUCUUAAGUCUGAUGUGAAAGCCCCCGGCUCAACCGGGGUGGGUCAUUGGAAACUGGGAAACUUGAGUGCAGAAGAGGAGAGUGGAAUUCCACGUGUAGCGGUGAAAUGCGUAGAGAUGUGGAGGAACACCAGUGGCGAAGGCGACUCUCUGGUCUGUAACUGACGCUGAGGAGCGAAAGCGUGGGGAGCGAACAGGAUUAGAUACCCCUGUAGUCCCUGUCUCUUAUAC